UGCGGCGUCUUACCAUGCAAGUCGAACGAUGCUUCUGGAUCUUGCUCCGGUGGAGUAGUGGCCAUGGGAAGAGUAACACGUGAGAAAUCUGCCCUUGACUCUGGGAUGACUGCGGGAAACUGUAGCUAAUACCGGAUACUUUCCCUGGUGGGCAUCCACUGGGGAGAAAGAAUUUCUGUCAAGGAUGAUCUCUCGGCCUAUCAGCUAGUUGGUGAGGUAACGGCUCAACGAUGCGACGACGUGUAACCGGCCUGAGAGGGUGACCGGCCACACUGGGACUGAGACACAAUUUUCACUCCUACGGGAGGCAGCGAUGGAGAAUAUUGCACAGUGGGAGCAAGGCUGAUGCACUGACGCCCCCUGAUGGAUGACGGCCUUCGGGUUGUAAACCUCUUUUAGCAGGGAAGAAUCAAAAGUGACCGUACCUGCAGAAAAAGCACCGGCUAGCUACGUGCCACCAACCUCGUGAAUACGUAGGGUGCAAGCGUUGUCCUGAAUUAUUGCUGUUAAAGAGCUCAUAUGAGGUUUGUCACGUCUGCUGUGAAUGUCCAAGGCUCAACCUUGGACUUGCAGUGGGUACGGGCAGUGCUAGAGUGCGGUGCGGGAGAUGGGAAUUCCUGGUGUAGUGGGUGGAAUGCUCUGAUAUCACGAGGAACACCAAUGGCGAACGGCACAUCUCUGGAGCCGUAACUGACGCUGAGGACCGAAAGCGUGGCCAGCGAACGAGGAUUAGAUACCCUGGGGAGUCCACGCCGUACUCGGUGGGUGCUAGCUGUGGGUCCACAUGUC
This 789-nucleotide ribosomal RNA is filed under the name uncultured bacterium. Its description in RNAcentral is "bacterial SSU rRNA". It matches the Rfam family "Bacterial small subunit ribosomal RNA", at positions 38 to 836 of the family's 1533-position model. The record is from RNAcentral.